This 440-nucleotide ribosomal RNA is filed under the name uncultured bacterium. Its description in RNAcentral is "partial 16S ribosomal RNA". It matches the Rfam family "Bacterial small subunit ribosomal RNA", at positions 338 to 795 of the family's 1533-position model. The record is from RNAcentral.
ACUACGGGUGGCAGCAGUGGGGAAUAUUGCACAAUGGGGGGAACCCUGAUGCAGCGACGCCGCGUGGGUGAAGGAGCGUUUCGGCGCGUAAAGCCCUAUCGGCAGGGAAGAAGAUGACGGUACCUGACCCAGAAGCCCCGGCUAACUACGUGCCAGCAGCCGCGGUAAUACGUAGGGGGCAAGCGUUAUCCGGAUUUACUGGGGGUAAAGGGGGCGCAGAAGGCAAUGCAAGCCAGGAGGGCAAGCCCGGGGCCCAACCCCGGGACUGCUCGUGGAACUGCCUGGCUGGAGUAGAGGAGGGGCAGGCGGAAGUCGUAGUGUAGCGGUGAAAUGCGUAGAUAUUAGGAGGAACACCGGUGGCGAAGGCGGCCUGCUGGACUGUGACUGACGUUGAGGCCCGAAGGCGUGGGGAGCAAACAGGAUUAGAUACCCCAGUAGUC